UACAGAGGUCCCGAGCGUUGUUCGGAUUCACUGGGCGUAAAGGGUGCGUAGGCGGUUCUGAAAGUCUGAUGUGAAAUCUCCAGGCCCAACUUGGAAACUGCAUUAGAAACUACAGGGCUAGAGGCUUGGAGGGGGAACUGGAAUUCUCGGUGUAGCAGUGAAAUGCGUAGAGAUCGAGAGGAACACCUGCGGCGAAGGCGGGUUGCUGGGCUGACACUGACGCUGAGGCGCGAAAGCUAGGGGAGCGAACGGG
Molecule: ribosomal RNA, 253 nt
Filed under: uncultured prokaryote
Description: partial 16S ribosomal RNA
Rfam family: Bacterial small subunit ribosomal RNA
Source: RNAcentral